This 467-nucleotide ribosomal RNA is filed under the name uncultured bacterium. RNAcentral's name for it is "bacterial SSU rRNA". It matches the Rfam family "Bacterial small subunit ribosomal RNA", at positions 28 to 508 of the family's 1533-position model. The record is from RNAcentral.
GACGAACGCUUGCGGCGUGCCUAAGAAAUGCAAGUCGAGCGAGGUUGAGGCUUCGGCCAAAAACCUAGCGGCGAACGGUCGCGUAACACGUAAGCAACCUGCCCUAAAGUGGGGGAUAGCCCUCCGAAAGGAGGAUUAAUACCGCAUGUGGAUGGUUUCUCGCAUGGGAGACUAUCUAAAGCAGCAAUGCGCUUUAGGAUGGGCUUGCGGCCUAUCAGCUAGUUGGUGUGGGUAACGGCUCACCAAGGCGACGACGGGUAGCUGGUCUGAGAGGAUGGUCAGCCGGACUGGGACUGAGAUACGGCCCAGACUCCUACGGGGGCAGCAAUUAGGAAUCUUGCGCAAUGGGCGAAAGCCUGACGCAGCGACGCCGCGUGACUGAUGAAGUCUUUCGGGAUGUAAAGGUCUUUUGCAGGGGACGAAGGAAGUGACGGUACCCUGCGAAUAAGCCCCGGCUAACUACGUGC